RNAcentral lists this ribosomal RNA (253 nucleotides) under uncultured bacterium. RNAcentral describes it as "partial 16S ribosomal RNA". It matches the Rfam family "Bacterial small subunit ribosomal RNA", at positions 524 to 776 of the family's 1533-position model. The record is from RNAcentral.
UACGUAGGGUGCAAGCGUUGUCCGGAAUUAUUGGGCGUAAAGAGCGCGCAGGCGGUAUGACAAGUCAGAUGUGAAAGAGGCCGGCUUAACCGGCAAGGGUCAUUUGAAACUGUCAGACUAGAGUGCAGCAGAGGAUAGUGGAAUUCCCGGUGUAGUGGUGAAAUGCGUAGAUAUCGGGAGGAACACCAGUGGCGAAGGCGACUAUCUGGGCUGCAACUGACGCUGAGGCGCGAAGGCUAGGGUAGCAAACAGG